UCUAGCCUACGGGAGGCAGCAGUGGGGAAUAUUGGACAAUGGGGGAAACCCUGAUCCAGCGACGCCGCGUGAGUGAAGAAGUAUUUCGGUACGUAAAGCUCUAUCAGCAGGAAAGAAAAUGACGGUACCUGACUAAGAAGCCCCGGCUAACUACGUGCCAGCAGCCGCGGUAAUACGUAGGGGGCAAGCGUUAUCCGGAUUUACUGGGUGUAAAGGGAGCGUAGACGGCUGGCCAAGUCUGAAGUGAAAGCCCGGGGCUUAACCCCGGAACGGCUUUGGAAACUGGCCGGCUGGAGUGCUGGAGG
This 305-nucleotide ribosomal RNA is filed under the name uncultured bacterium. RNAcentral's name for it is "bacterial SSU rRNA". It matches the Rfam family "Bacterial small subunit ribosomal RNA", at positions 335 to 655 of the family's 1533-position model. The record is from RNAcentral.